This 444-nucleotide ribosomal RNA is filed under the name uncultured bacterium. RNAcentral describes it as "bacterial SSU rRNA". It matches the Rfam family "Bacterial small subunit ribosomal RNA", at positions 29 to 483 of the family's 1533-position model. The record is from RNAcentral.
AGUGAACGCUGGCGGCGUGCUUAACACAUGCAAGUCGAACGAGAACGGGUUAUAGCUUGCUAUAACUGUCAGCUAAGUGGCGCACGGGUGAGUAAUAUAUAGUUAACCUGCCCUAGAGAAGGGGAUAACGUUUGGAAACGAACGCUAAUACCCUAUAUGCCUUUAAGUCAUAAGACUGCAAGGGAAAUAUUUAUAGCUCUAGGAUGGGACUGUACGGUAUCAGCUAGUUGGUGAGGUAAUGGCUCACCAAGGCAAUGACGCCUAACUGGUUUGAGAGGAUGAUCAGUCACACUGGAACUGAGACACGGUCCAGACUCCUACGGGAGGCAGCAGUGGGGAAUAUUGCACAAUGGAGGAAACUCUGAUGCAGCAACGCCGCGUGGAGGAUGACACUUUUCGGAGCGUAAACUCCUUUUAUAUAGGAAGAUAAUGACGGUACUAUAU